Molecule: ribosomal RNA, 433 nt
Filed under: uncultured bacterium
Lineage: Bacteria
Description: bacterial SSU rRNA
Rfam family: Bacterial small subunit ribosomal RNA
Source: RNAcentral
AACGAACGCUGGCGGCAUGCCUAACACAUGCAAGUCGAACGAGAUCUUCGGAUCUAGUGGCGCACGGGUGCGUAACGCGUGGGAAUCUGCCCUUGGGUGCGGAAUAACUCAGAGAAAUUUGUGCUAAUACCGUAUAAUGUCUUCGGACCAAAGAUUUAUCGCCCAGGGAUGAGCCCGCGUAGGAUUAGCUAGUUGGUGAGGUAAAAGCUCACCAAGGCGACGAUCCUUAGCUGGUCUGAGAGGAUGAUCAGCCAUACUGGGACUGAGACACGGCCCAGACUCCUACGGGAGGCAGCAGUGGGGAAUAUUGGACAAUGGGCGAAAGCCUGAUCCAGCAAUGCCGCGUGAGUGAUGAAGGCCCUAGGGUUGUAAAGCUCUUUUACCCGGGAUGAUAAUGACAGUACCGGGAGAAUAAGCUCCGGCUAACUUCGUG